This 474-nucleotide ribosomal RNA is filed under the name Acidithiobacillus ferrooxidans. RNAcentral's name for it is "bacterial SSU rRNA". It matches the Rfam family "Bacterial small subunit ribosomal RNA", at positions 37 to 508 of the family's 1533-position model. The record is from RNAcentral. Lineage: Bacteria; Pseudomonadati; Pseudomonadota; Acidithiobacillia; Acidithiobacillales; Acidithiobacillaceae.
UGGCGGCAUGCCUAACACAUGCAAGUCGAACGGUAACAGGUCUUCGGAUGCUGACGAGUGGCGGACGGGUGAGUAAUGCGUAGGAAUCUGUCUUUUAGUGGGGGACAACCCAGGGAAACUUGGGCUAAUACCGCAUGAGCCCUGAGGGGGAAAGCGGGGGAUCUUCGGACCUCGCGCUAAGAGAGGAGCCUACGUCCGAUUAGCUAGUUGGCGGGGUAAAGGCCCACCAAGGCGACGAUCGGUAGCUGGUCUGAGAGGACGACCAGCCACACUGGGACUGAGACACGGCCCAGACUCCUACGGGAGGCAGCAGUGGGGAAUUUUUCGCAAUGGGGGCAACCCUGACGAAGCAAUGCCGCGUGGAUGAAGAAGGCCUUCGGGUUGUAAAGUCCUUUCGUGGAGGACGAAAAGGUGGGUUCUAAUACAAUCUGCUAUUGACGUGAAUCCAAGAAGAAGCACCGGCUAACUCCGUGC